UCGGAGAUGCUCUCAGCUCUCAUACGCAGUCACACCAACGUCGUCGUCUCGAGGGAGGAGUGGGUGGGAGGAGAAGAAGGUGGAGGCGGCGGCGGCGGUUUUGAUCUCUGUGCUCUGCCUUGACGCGGGAGGCAGCGGAUCGAUCCGGCCGAACUAGCUGCCAGAAGGAUGGGUCACCGUCGUCCCCAACCCCAUGGCUCACCACCCGCCUCAGCUCACUCUCUGACACCGCUCGCUGCAUGAUCUGGGCUGCUCGGGGGAGGAGUUGUUUCCCGAGUUGUGCUCGCCACCGGGACCGACGGAUCCAGGCUUCCAUCGAGCUCACGCGUCACCAUCGCCGCCAGGAGGCACAAACGGGUGCUCUCCGCCACCGCCGCCACUCUGCCUCAUGAGUACAUGCCCACACCCACGACGGCGAGGCGCUCCAUGCCUGGGCGCGCUCAAAGUGCGGCGCCGCCUCCCACGCGCCCGUCUCCAACUCCCUCAUCACCUUCCAUUCCUCCCUCCCGCGGCCCCUCGUCCCCGCGACCCUGGUCGUCUUCGCGGACAUCCCCGCCGUCGCCCGCGACGUCGCCUCGUGGAACUUCCUGCUCAACCCACUCUCGCACGCUCCGCGUCUGCUGGAGCCGCUGCCCACACUCUCGCUUGCAAGGCCCCCUCGGCUAGCUCCAAUGUGGUCGUGUCCACAGCUCUGCUCAACAAUAACUGCAAACUGGACCUUUAUCCCCGAAGCCCGCAGAGUGUUUGACGAAAUGCUGCUGCGAAAUGAGUUCUCAUGGGCCGCCAAGGUGGCGGCUAUGCUGCUACAAAAUGCUCUGAUGAUGCCUUUGAGCUCUUCCAGGUGAUGCUUCACGAGUACCCAUCACAGAAAAAACAAGUUUGUGGCCACAACAGUUCUUGGCAUGGUUAGUGUGCCAUUGGGCUUGCCGAUGGAGGUGCAGCUGCAUGGGUUGGCAGUGUAGGAUGGGCUGGUGGUGUUUGUGUCGGUUGAAAACUCGCUUGUCACGAUGUAUGCAAAGGUUGGUUGUAUGGAUGCAGCAUUACAUGUGUUUGCGUCGUCUAAGGAGAGGAACUCCAUCACUUGGUCUGCGGUGAUCACUGGGUACGCGCAGAAUGGGAAUGCAGAAAGCGCAUUUAGAAUGUUUUUACAGAUGCUUACUGAAGGGUUUUCACCAAGUGAGUUCACUGGUUGGUGUGCUCUAUGCUUGUAGUGAUGUGGGAGCAUCGAUGGAAGGAAAGCACGCACAUGGUUGAUGGUGAAGCUAGUAGACAUGUAUGCCAAAUGUGGCUGUAUUGCUGAUGCAAAGGAAGGUUUUGAUCAAUUUCACGAGACAUUGUUCUUUGGACGUCUAUGGUUGUCGGGCAUUUGCAGAAUGGGGAGCACGAGGAAGCCUUGAGGUUGUAUGCCAGGAUGGACAAGGAGGGCAUCACUCUGACUAACUUGACUACGUCCAUCGCGCGGCGCGGCUACCCGUCGCUGGUGUACGGCGACGGGGCCGCCUGACGAGGACGUCAAGGUUGCUGUUGAUAACUGCAGCGAUAGGUCAUCAGAUCUGUCAUCGGCGCCGUUCUUCCGCUCGAUGCAUCUGUCGUCCACGUGCUCCUCCUAAAGUUCCUCCUCGCCACCACGGGUGGACGUCGGUGAGGCUGGCCUUCCCUCCAUGCGCAAGGCAUGGUAUAAUAGCCAUAUUUCUUGUUAUCUUCUCAUGCUGCUGCAGCAACUUCUUGAUGAAUUGUGACUUGAGACACCUCCCUGCGCAUUACCAUCAGUAUUUACAAGAAAAUGAGGUGAAAGCUAAUACAGUUGGAAGCUACCCUAUGAAUAAUGGAGGAUGCACCAGCAGGAAAGCGAAGGGAAAUUUUCAGAGAUUCAAGCAUGAUACUCUGCAUGCGAGUAAGUGUUACCUAGGCUAGAGGUCCAAGAACUUGGAGGUUUCCCCGUGACCAUGGAUAUCAUGAUGUUAAGUGACAUGAAACAAUUCUCGAGCAGUUCCAUAUCUUAUGGCUUGGUGAUUGAACUACUGCAUAUGUCCUCCAUACUCGUGAGCAAAAGCUCUGGUUAAAACACAUGACUGCAAGCAACCGUUUGAGAGAGAUCAGAGUGAAGAUGCAGACGUAUUUUUGCGGGCUGGAAAGAAGGAAGAAUUUAUUUUUCUCCAACACAUAAAUACUCUUUCAAUUCAAACCGGUAUUCUGGUUACGGGGUGCAUCCCAAGUUAAAAAGGAUGGUAACACUAAUUGUUGGGACUAAAUUAUAUUGUUAUAUAACUUUCUUGGCCUAAAUAUUAUUUAGUAAACAUGUAUGUUCCAUAUCCUAUUAAUAUGUGUGCAUCUUGUCAAUUUGUUCCCAUUGGUGCAAUGUCUAUUUGAUCUUAUUAUUAGGUAUUAUGGGAAAGUUAGUAACAAGUAUUGCCCUUGAGCAAGCUCUUUCUAUUUAUGUGAUUCAGUUAACAAAUUCAGUGGAUACGAGCAUGGCCUUGCCAUCGUUGGGUUUGGUGUUACACUGCAGUUUGUUGUUGAUGUGGUAGAUAACUGUGCUAUCUUACAAAGUGUUUGUACUUGGAUCUUCUUAGGAAUAGUUUUUGUUUAUUUAUUAAUGCAUUUUACAUAGUGAAAAUGUCCCUAAUUAUUCUCUGUUGUGUUUAAUUAGCCUGCCAAUUUUUCAUAUGUAUCCUUUGCCCUGACAAAAGGUCAUUUUGCCACUGCCUUAGAAGUUAAUUGUCUUCAUAUAUUCAGUUCAGCUGUAGAUUCAAUCAUUUACAUGUGUGAGUAGGUGUUCCUUCCGUAACUUGACAUGAAAAUAAUAUUGGGCAUGGCAGGUUAUAUUAUCAAUACAUGAUGUAUUUUAACUAAAAGAGAAAUUCCAGAUUCGCGAAGAGCUUAUGAUUUCAGAGAUUAAUGCAAAUAAAAUACUUGCUUUACUAAUUAUAAGUUCCUUUGUGUUUUCGGUUGGGUUCCAAGUUGAUACGUUAAGCUCACAAAUAAUGCAUGUAUCCAGAUUUUAUAUAUGUACCAGAUAGAUUGGCCAUUAAUUUCUUAUAGAGCAAUAGUUAUUUUAGCUAACUCCCAAGGAAAUCGAUAUAAAAAAACCUGUCUAAACACUAAAUGUCCUUGCAGAUCUUGUUCUCAUGUUGUCAAUUCAAGGCGAUCACGAGAUAUUCUCAUGCAGUUUACAAGGUUUACUUGGAGAUUAAAAUAUUGCUAAUGUUUCUAAUCCCUUCGAAUGACUUGGCUAUUAUCCGCAUUAUGUUUCUAAAUGCCUAUGCUCUAUAUAAUUGGUCAUUCAAUUAGCAUUAGAUUCCUCAACCAGUGCAGCUUCAGUUUUUUCUUUGGUCGAAUAGCCGUUUCAUUUUAUGUUGACAAAGAUCUGGCUCUGUUCUAAGGUUAAGUUUCUGGUCAGUUUUGUAAGGUUUUUCAUGAAAGAUUCUCUUUAGAGUCCUAUUUUAUAUCUUUCUAUAUGGUUCUUUACAUGGAAGUACUAUGUUCUUUUGCUGAUAUUACUCUUUUGCUAUUAUACAGAUUUGGAUGCACCUGCAGAAUCAUGACAGUACAUAGAGAAAUUCAUCAACAGGUUGUUGCAACACUCAACUGAUAUCUGUUCCGAGGCGUUACCAAGUACUACAGCUGGAUUAGUGCGAACAAUCGCGCCCCAAGAGACGCGCCUAAGGCGCGUCCCAGCCACUAGUGUGUUAGCCGUACGUUGCGCAACCCUGCACCCCUCGGUUUCUUUUAGUGGAUCGGCCCAAUAGUAUAUUUCAUCGAUAUCACUUAGUUUUAGUCUCCUGAUUCGACAACGCACUGCGUAUGACCAGGGGUGUACGCUCGCAUGACGUCAAACGUGAAUAUCGUUGAUCAACACAAUGCAUGCAUGCAUCUCCAUUCAGUUUCUUCAUAUAAAAACCCUUCAAGGAAGCAUCUAUGAGCUUCUAGCCAGGUCUUUUCAUUUCUCUAUUAUUCAGUAGAGUUUGUUUUUUUAUUUCUUGUUUUACCUUUUGGUUCUUUUUAAUGCAAACAUUUUUAAAUAUCAUUUUCUUAACUUUGUGAAAAAAUCAAACUUUUUAACACUUCUUAAUUCAUGAUUUUUUCAAAAUUGCAGUCACUUUUUCAUAUUC
Triticum aestivum (bread wheat) is the source of this 4112-nucleotide long non-coding RNA. RefSeq lists it as uncharacterized. The transcript is spliced from 5 exons. Lineage: Eukaryota; Viridiplantae; Streptophyta; Magnoliopsida; Poales; Poaceae. The record is from RefSeq and is a predicted model, not a curated record.